Molecule: long non-coding RNA, 666 nt
Organism: Salvia splendens (bonfire salvia)
Lineage: Eukaryota; Viridiplantae; Streptophyta; Magnoliopsida; Lamiales; Lamiaceae
Exons: 2
Source: RefSeq, a predicted model, not a curated record
AAAGAUCUUUCCUUCUUCUCCUAUUAAUGGAGUUCUGAUUAUCAUUUUCUACACUCAUUUCCAAAUUCUCUGAUUUCUAACACUUACGACAGCUGACUUUCCAUUAUAACUUUGAAUUGAUUGUCUAGUAUUGUCGUCCAUUUUUUUAGCUUCGAUCUCUUUAAUUUUAUGAAGAUUUCUUUUGCUUGAGAGUUUUGCGUUAUUAUAUACACCCAAAUUGCCAUUUUCUUGUAUAAAGAAAUUCAGCUGAGUGAAUGACAUUGCAGUUGCAGUUAUAGUAAUAAUAAUUCUCUGCUUCAAUGAAGAAUGCUGAUGGUCACAGACAGGUGGUGGAGAUGAAUGCUGAAAAUCGGGGCUCGUGAUCAAGAUUAUGAUUAUGCACUGAUGAGAUCGAGGCCUUGAAGAUGUUGCAAGGAUCGAAGAGGUUAUUGAUGAGAGGUCAAAGCACUUUGCCAGGACGAGUUUGUGGAUGAGAGGAAGAUGAAGUGUCAUGAAAGAAGUGGAAGAGGAUGAUUGAAGAUGAAGAGAAAAACCAUGUUUUUUAUUUAUGUACUAGUAGUAAUUUUUUUAGUGUUGAAGAUGAAGAUGUGGAAGUGGACGUAAACGUGAGCUCUAAAAAAUACUCCCAAUUCAUUUUCCUCAAACUAAUGAAACAUAUUAUGAAAA